UACGUAGGGAGCAAGCGUUGUCCGGAAUCAUUGGGCGUAAAGCGCGCGUAGGUGGUCCCGUAAGUCCGCUGUGAAAGUCAAAGGCUCAACCUUUGAAAGCCGGUGGAUACUGUGGGACUAGAGUACGGAAGAGGCGAGUGGAAUUCCUGGUGUAGCGGUGAAAUGCGCAGAUAUCAGGAAGAACACCCGUGGCGAAGGCGGCUCACUGGACCGGAACUGACGCUGAGGCGCGAAAGCGUGGGGAGCAAACAGG
This 253-nucleotide ribosomal RNA is filed under the name uncultured bacterium. Its description in RNAcentral is "partial 16S ribosomal RNA". It matches the Rfam family "Bacterial small subunit ribosomal RNA", at positions 524 to 776 of the family's 1533-position model. The record is from RNAcentral.